CUACGGGCGGCUGCAGUGGGGAAUAUUGCACAAUGGAGGAAACUCUGAUGCAGCAACGCCGCGUGGAGGAUGACACUUUUCGGAGCGUAAACUCCUUUUAUAUAGGAAGAAGAUGACGGUACUAUAUGAAUAAGCGCCGGCUAACUCCGUGCCAGCAGCCGCGGUAAUACGGAGGGCGCAAGCGUUACUCGGAAUCACUGGGCGUAAAGAGCGUGUAGGCGGAUUAAAAAGUCAGAAGUGAAAUCCUAUAGCUUAACUAUAGAACUGCUUCUGAAACUCUUAAUCUAGAAUAUGGGAGAGGUAGAUGGAAUUUCUGGUGUAGGGGUAAAAUCCGUAGAGAUCAGAAGGAAUACCGAUUGCGAAGGCGAUCUACUAGAACAUUAUUGACGCUGAGACGCGAAAGCGUGGGGAGCAAACAGGAUUAGAUACCCGGGUAGUC
Molecule: ribosomal RNA, 439 nt
Filed under: uncultured bacterium
Lineage: Bacteria
Description: partial 16S ribosomal RNA
Rfam family: Bacterial small subunit ribosomal RNA
Source: RNAcentral